Long non-coding RNA from Brachypodium distachyon (stiff brome), 535 nucleotides. RefSeq lists it as uncharacterized. The transcript is spliced from 2 exons. Lineage: Eukaryota; Viridiplantae; Streptophyta; Magnoliopsida; Poales; Poaceae. The record is from RefSeq and is a predicted model, not a curated record.
GCUUCCUGUAAACAAAAAGGCACCGCGUACAGUUUUUUUUUUCAGUUGCGUUGGCGCGGAGGAGCGCUUUGUGCGCCGCGUAGCGAUCGGAUCACGGCGAGUCGAAAGGAAGAUGACCGGAGCAAGCCCUGGAUUCAUGGUGUUGCGUGCCAGCAGCUUGCGCACAACGUGUUUGUGGAAAUGCCUGAGCCACGAAGAUGAGUCCUUUCUCAAGGAAUCUUUGUUCCAAUAGUUAUACAGGGAUCAGUUUGAGCAGCAACUUUGCCAUCCUAGCCAUGGAGAUGAUUGCUCCAGCGGAUGCAGGGGAUCAACUGAAGGCCUGAAGCCUUUGUGCGCUCUGUUCUGCGGAAGGUGUGCUCAGUAUUUAUGUUCACCGCUCUUUUUUAUUACCAGUAGUUUCUCUGAAGCCUUGUAGGAGUACUUCGUUUUGCUUUGUUGAAUGUUGUUUAAAUUGCCUUGGAGUUAAGACCAGGUUAGAAUGAGUUUCCAGUAUCCUGUUACUCAGAAGUCAUAAUUUAACAAUGCACCUUCACCA